GCCUAGCUGGCUGAGUCGGUAGAGCGUGAGACUCUUGAUCUCAGGGGUUGUGGGUUCGAGCCCCACGUUGGUG
This 73-nucleotide transfer RNA is filed under the name Felis catus (domestic cat). It matches the Rfam family "tRNA". Rfam says of the family: Transfer RNA (tRNA) molecules are approximately 80 nucleotides in length. Their secondary structure includes four short double-helical elements and three loops (D, anti-codon, and T loops). Lineage: Eukaryota; Metazoa; Chordata; Mammalia; Carnivora; Felidae. RNAcentral also lists the same sequence under 1 other name. The record is from Rfam by way of RNAcentral.